UCUGGAAAUAUUUGCUUUCUUGAUUCAGAUGUCUCCCCUUCCUUCCUUCCUUCUUCUUCCUUUGUAUUUCUACCCAAAACAUGGGUUUGAGGUCUGGAGCUGCAGCAGCCAUCUCGUACCAACAGACAACAAGCUUAAGGAUGAAUGCCAACAUGCUGGGGAUGGUGAAACAGGAAGGCCUGCCCUCCAUGACUCUCAACCUUGAAUAGGAAUGGGGGAGUCAGAAGAAAUCCAAAGCAGUUCUAGGAAAUUGAGUGCCACAUUCUUUUCUGCACGCCUGAGAGUAUGUCUUAUGCACCUUUGCAUGCCCCAUUCCUGACACUACGACUCCCAUGAGUUGUCCAAAGAAAAUAAUUCAAAGGACUCAAAUAGAGGUUAAAGGCUUCAUUCAGCUGAUGAGGUCAGGGAGCACCUGAAGGCCAGCCAGGUAUAAAAUGAUGUGAUCAGACUACCAGAGCUCAAGAAGUCCCCAGUGAUCAAGGCUGAGCAGGAGGAAUGAGCAGAAGCUCACAGAAUUGGCGUGUAUCUCUAGCUUGAUGAAGCAGUCAUUUAAUACAGGGCAUUUCAUGUGAUCUCAGAAAGGAGAGCAGAGUCCCGGUCCCCUAAGAGCAAGCUCUCCCCCUCCUCCACUACUGUGCCCUCCGGCUUCAGAGAGGGGUCAGACUGAACUCUGCAUGUUGUACUAAGGAUCAAAUGAGGAAACCUAUGUGAAAGCACCUCACCCGCUAGAGGCCCUGGAAGCAAUGGCCUUCUCCUACUUCUCCUGCAAACCC
Molecule: long non-coding RNA, 773 nt
Filed under: Equus caballus (horse)
Lineage: Eukaryota; Metazoa; Chordata; Mammalia; Perissodactyla; Equidae
Description: lncRNA (ENSECAG00000049433.1)
Source: RNAcentral